CCUACGGGUGGCAGCAGUGAGGAAUAUUGGUCAAUGGACGAGAGUCUGAACCAGCCAAGUCGCGUGAAGGAUGACUGCCCUAUGGGUUGUAAACUUCUUUUAUAUGGGAAUAAAUUGUUCCACGUGUGGGAUUUUGUAUGUACCAUAUGAAUAAGGAUCGGCUAACUCCGUGCCAGCAGCCGCGGUAAUACGGAGGAUCCGAGCGUUAUCCGGAUUUAUUGGGUUUAAAGGGUGCGUAGGUGGAUUGUUAAGUCAGUUGUGAAAUUUUGGGGCUCAACCCUAGAAUUGCCGUUGAAACUGGCGGUCUUGAGUAGAGUAGAGGUAGGCGGAAUUCGUGGUGUAGCGGUGAAAUGCUUAGAGAUCACGAAGAACUCCGAUUGCGAAGGCAGCUCACUGGACUGCAACUGACGCUGAGGCUCGAAAGUGUGGGUAUCAAACAGGAUUAGAUACCCUAGUAGUC
This 460-nucleotide ribosomal RNA is filed under the name uncultured bacterium. RNAcentral describes it as "partial 16S ribosomal RNA". It matches the Rfam family "Bacterial small subunit ribosomal RNA", at positions 338 to 795 of the family's 1533-position model. The record is from RNAcentral.